RNAcentral lists this ribosomal RNA (611 nucleotides) under Symbiodinium sp. clade F. RNAcentral's name for it is "partial 23S ribosomal RNA". It matches the Rfam family "Bacterial large subunit ribosomal RNA", at positions 1914 to 2592 of the family's 2925-position model. The record is from RNAcentral. Lineage: Eukaryota; Dinophyceae; Suessiales; Symbiodiniaceae.
CACGACGUUGUAAAACGACGGCUGUAACUAUAACGGUCCUAAGGUAGCAAAUUUCCUUGUCGUCCUAAUAACGACCUGCAUGAAACAUAGAACGAUUCGAUAGCUGUCUUGCACACACAUCAUGGUAAAAUAUUCAUCAGUACAAAUAAUAUGCUGCCGAAGUCGAGUGACACUAAAGGACAAAAAGACCCUCUGAAGCUUUAUAGGGAUAAAACUUGGAUUGCAUCGCGAUCUAAAUUAUCUUAUUGCAUCGCAGCUAAAGUGAAUAGAUUUCUGAUUUCUCCUAAGACCACUGUUUAAUUGGGGCGAUAACCUUAUCCACAGCCACCUAAGGUGAACAAAGCGAUACAAGGAUCCUAAAUACUAAUUUGACCAACUAAUAAGUGCAAAGAUACAUGUUUCGCUUAAUGGCCCAACAAGUCCUUCCCAGUACUUAAAUGCUAUCUUAAUGAGCUUUAAAUUAAUCUACCCGAGUGAAGCUACUCUACGGAUAACAGGCUUAAUUUCCGCAAUACUCAAGGUCACAUUAUCAAGAAAAAUGCACCUCGAUGUCGGCUUAUCCUCCCAAAAUAAGUAGCGCCAAUUAUUGGUGGGAGUGCUCAUCCCGUAAA